AUAAGAUCAUUAUUUAUAGUUGGUAAUCACAGACUGGCACUAAAGUGACAGUGUGGAUAUGUAACAGAUGAGUAACUUAAGCUCUAUCUAAGCACUGGUGGGGUGGGGAUACCAUGAUGCACUCUUGUAGUAUGGGGUAAUGAGGCUAUUAUCAGAGUCUGAGCUGUUCAAACAAAUGGUUUCAGUGAAAGUUAAGUCCACCACACCUGUUACUAGGCCUCCUCCUUUCUGAGAACUUGGUAUUAAGUGCCUUUAUUACAUUAACAAGGGACGACAGGAAAGCAUGGGCCUCUUCCAAGAAUAAGGUAUUUGGACACUUAUAAUCAAAAUCAAAAUUUUUAUCUCUGUGUUUUUAGUGUGCAGACUGCUGCUGGUCUAACAAGAAUGUGCCAUCCAAAAUCACUUCUAGUGGCCAUUAUAAGAAACUAAUAUUCUAUAUUCUGUUUUAUAAUCUCAAAAAUAUAAACUACAAAAGGGAUUCUAUCAAUACAUUUCUGAGUGAAACUACGUGGAAAACGUUGGGAAAACAGAUAAAUAGGAAAAGCCAUGUUUACUGUUGCUACAGUAGCAGAUUACCAACACACUGUAAUGAUACCCUAAUCUUAAACCACAUGGGAGGUCAUUAUAACAAACUUUUCAUGCCAGUGGGUGGGUGGGUUCCUCCUGUGGGGCAUGCUGCCAGUAGUGGUGCAGCAGAAAUGUGGAGACUGGCAGUUUGAUAACAGCCAGGGCUUUAUGGCUUGGGUUAGCAAAAUGCAAAGCAGAGCUGAUUGAUAUAUAAAUAUAUAUAUAAACUGAUUAGUCUCUCAAAAAGAGCAAACUUAAUAACUUGGAUAAGUGGUAAAGCCCCAGUUCGGACUGUGAUUAACAGUGGGUUGAUUUUAGCUAUGAUUUAUUACAGUCUGCAUGAACAUUCCUAUAUUGAUAAAGAUAAUGACAGGUAGGUUUUAGCUUGCAUUCUUAAUUUGCAAAUUGCACUGACUGCUGUUUAUACUGAUGUGCUUCGCUAACACUGUUUAUGGACACUGCAAUGCAUUUGUUUUGGGAGUGAUGACGGGAAAGAGUGACUGUGCAGCAGCAAGUCCAUGCCAAUCUAUCAGCAGCAGUGCGAGUGGGCGUGCCCUUUCAUAUUUCAGAAGCCUGCGAACUUUCUGGAUCUUUCUUCCCACUUUAUGCAACUUUAACGCAUAUUAGAAACUUCAUCCCGACAGUUUUGGAAACAUCAGUACCUGCUCACCAUCACUCAAUGUCAAGAAUGUCAAGAAGGGAAGAAUUUUCCCCCGAAGUACAAUGUGUAUAUUUGUUACACGACAAGACCAUCCUGCAGCCCAAGCUUAUUUCAAAAAGGGCAUCUUUGCUGACCUCGCACCAACAUUCUGGAAUGAUUUCCCAGGUGACCUCAGAAAUGCAUCAACCUUGGCUGUCUUUUUUUUUCUCCAAGCUUUUGGAAGCAUUUGUUUUAGGAGUCUAGACUGUGGUUGUGGUAUUUCAUGUAAAUAGUGUGCGUGUGCAUAGCAAGAAUUUUUAGAAACUAUUUUAUUUUAAUUAUUAAAGUCCAGCUGCCACAUAGUUUAGUUUCAAUACCCAUAAGUGACAGGUGCCCUUUAAAAUGUUGUCCUUAAUUAUUUUUUUGUCAUCUUAAACAUUUCCAGAGAACCAUUCUUCUUGUUUUAGUUUAGUUUUAGUUAACUAUAAUAACUUUGGUCUCAGUGCUGGAGGCUUUAUAUGAACAGGAGGAGUGCACAGCUUAUCAGAGGGCCUCAUUGUCUCCAGGGUCCUGGGCAUGUGUCCACUUUGCCCACAUAACAACACAGUGUCCUGUAUCUAGUUUAUAUAAGCCAGUUACAUAAGCCAAAAAUAUGUGGCUCUGUAA
Molecule: long non-coding RNA, 1873 nt
Organism: Oreochromis niloticus (Nile tilapia)
Lineage: Eukaryota; Metazoa; Chordata; Actinopteri; Cichliformes; Cichlidae
Exons: 3
Source: RefSeq, a predicted model, not a curated record